GAUGAACGCUGGCGGCGUGCUUAACACAUGCAAGUCGAACGGAAAGGCCCAAGCUUGCUUGGGUACUCGAGUGGCGAACGGGUGAGUAACACGUGGGUGAUCUGCCCUGCACUUCGGGAUAAGCCUGGGAAACUGGGUCUAAUACUGGAUAGGACCACUUCUUGGAUGGUGUGGUGGAAAGUUUUUUCGGUGUGGGAUGAGCUCGCGGCCUAUCAGCUUGUUGGUGGGGUAAUGGCCUACCAAGGCGUCGACGGGUAGCCGGCCUGAGAGGGUGUACGGCCACAUUGGGACUGAGAUACGGCCCAGACUCCUACGGGAGGCAGCAAUGGGGAAUAUUGCACAAUGGGCGCAAGCCUGAUGCAGCGACGCCGCGUGGGGGAUGACGGCCUUCGGGUUGUAAACUCCUUUCGCUAGGGACGAAGCGUUUUUGUGACGGUACCUGGAGAAGAAGCACCGGCUAACUACGUG
This 468-nucleotide ribosomal RNA is filed under the name uncultured bacterium. RNAcentral's name for it is "partial 16S ribosomal RNA". It matches the Rfam family "Bacterial small subunit ribosomal RNA", at positions 28 to 507 of the family's 1533-position model. The record is from RNAcentral.